AUAUCGGCAUGGGCAAGGUGGCCCACCAAUCAGGGGACGCGGCUGGCUCGCCCUCGCCCUCGCGCGCUGCUACCGCCACUGCGUUUGGUCUUGGGGUUGCCUCGGCGCGAGGACGGCAUGAUGGCGUCCAGUGGAGGGAGGAUAAUGGAGCCAAACUGGGUUAUGGGCCCCAGUAACAAAAAUAAAAAAAUUGUCGCUGAUU
Molecule: long non-coding RNA, 202 nt
Filed under: Oryza brachyantha (malo sina)
Lineage: Eukaryota; Viridiplantae; Streptophyta; Magnoliopsida; Poales; Poaceae
Description: long non-coding RNA (OBRA_LNC000445)
Source: RNAcentral